GGGAGGGGUUGAGUGGUGGCAGAGUGAGGGGGAGACACAGUGAGUGGGGGUGACUGGUGACAGAGUGAGGGAGUGGGUGACUAGUGACAGAAUGAGGGAGGGAAGAGAUGACUAGUGGCAAAGUGAGGGAGGGAAGGGGUGACUGGUGACAGAGUGAGGGGGGGGGUGACUGUCAUUAGUCACCUCAUCCCUCUCUCUGUCACUAGUCACUCCCUCCCUAACUCUGUCACUCGCUCCCUCACUCUGUCACUAGUCACCCCCUCACUCUGUCACUGUCACCCCCUCCCUCCCUCUGUGACUAGUCACCCCCUCACUCUGUCACUAGUCACCCCUCCC
Molecule: small RNA, 336 nt
Filed under: Pelobates cultripes (western spadefoot toad)
Lineage: Eukaryota; Metazoa; Chordata; Amphibia; Anura; Pelobatidae
Source: RNAcentral